RNAcentral lists this transfer RNA (72 nucleotides) under Chloroflexota bacterium. RNAcentral's name for it is "tRNA-Gly". It matches the Rfam family "tRNA". Rfam says of the family: Transfer RNA (tRNA) molecules are approximately 80 nucleotides in length. Their secondary structure includes four short double-helical elements and three loops (D, anti-codon, and T loops). The record is from RNAcentral. Lineage: Bacteria; Bacillati; Chloroflexota. RNAcentral also lists the same sequence under 4 other names.
GCGGGCGUAGUUCAGCGGUAGAACGUCUCCUUGCCAAGGAGAAGGUCACGAGUUCGAAUCUCGUCGCCCGCU